RNAcentral lists this ribosomal RNA (188 nucleotides) under uncultured bacterium. RNAcentral's name for it is "partial 16S ribosomal RNA". It matches the Rfam family "Bacterial small subunit ribosomal RNA", at positions 1313 to 1500 of the family's 1533-position model. The record is from RNAcentral.
CGCCUGCAUGAAGUUGGAAUCGCUAGUAAUCGCGGAUCAGCAUGCCGCGGUGAAUACGUUCCCGGGCCUUGUACACACCGCCCGUCACACCAUGAGAGUCGGGAACACCCGAAGUCCGUAGCCUGACCGCAAGGGGGGCGCGGCCGAAGGUGGGUUCGAUAAUUGGGGUGAAGUCGUAACAAGGUACC